Molecule: long non-coding RNA, 209 nt
Organism: Oncorhynchus keta (chum salmon)
Lineage: Eukaryota; Metazoa; Chordata; Actinopteri; Salmoniformes; Salmonidae
Exons: 2
Source: RefSeq, a predicted model, not a curated record
UUCUGUACAGGCUUCCUUCUUUUCACUCUGUCAUUUAGGUUAGUAAUGUGGAGUAACUACAAUGUUGUUGAUCCAUCCUCAGUGUUCUCCUAUCACAGCCAUUAAACUCUGUCAUUUAGGUUAGUAUUGUGGAGUAACUCCAAUGUUGUUGAUCCAUCCUCAGUGUUCUCCUAUCACAGCCAUUAAACUCUGUAACUGUUUUAAAUUCA